GAGGGUAUAGCUCAGUGGUAGAGUGUGUGCUUAGCAUGCACCAGGUCCUGGGUUUGAUUCCCAGUACCUCUG
Molecule: transfer RNA, 72 nt
Filed under: Camelus bactrianus (Bactrian camel)
Lineage: Eukaryota; Metazoa; Chordata; Mammalia; Artiodactyla; Camelidae
Also listed under: 3 other names
Rfam family: tRNA
About the family: Transfer RNA (tRNA) molecules are approximately 80 nucleotides in length. Their secondary structure includes four short double-helical elements and three loops (D, anti-codon, and T loops).
Source: Rfam by way of RNAcentral